This is a non-coding RNA of Equus caballus (horse), 3925 nucleotides long. The record is from RefSeq and is a predicted model, not a curated record. NCBI's taxonomy places the organism in Eukaryota, Metazoa, Chordata, Mammalia, Perissodactyla, Equidae.
CAUCAGUCAAGGCUGCCGGAGGGUUGUUUUCACGAGUUCUCUCAAAUGCUGCAGGAGCUUAGGAACAGGUGACCUGAACUUGAGACUUCCUGACCUGGUCUCUGAAUGAAAUAAGAGGAGGUGACAGGCUCUGUACCAGCAACUUUUGUGUCCCCUGAGGGUGGGGAUCCUGUGAGGCCGGGGAAGCACAAUUGUCCUGUCCCUGGGCACGAGGCCAGCUGCAGCGAGACAGGUUCACAGGUGGAGGGGUGAUCACGGAAGGGCGUGCCCGGGCUUUGGAAAACUGGAGAAAGUUGGUCCUUGGAUGGGGUGUGGAAAGAACAUGAGCUAUGGGUGGGGAGGAGCCAGGAUGAUUGACAGCUCUGAGCAGUGAAGGAAAAACUGUCUCCCCAAGUAGAGAUCUGAGGUUUCCACAGUACAGUAGGAGCUGAGUCUGUCACAUGGACUGGGUGGUCACCUGGCACAUUCCAGCAAAAGUGCUGCCCCCUGGAAGCCAAGGCCAUCCAUGCAGUUGAGCCAGUGGCCACUACAAGAUUUUGAAUUUUGAGGCAAUGAUUCCACAAAGGGCAUUAUAAACAGUUUGCAUCCACUUGCCUUCCUAGAAAACAGGAGCUGCCUUCGAGAUCUGUUCUGGCAUUGGAAGCAUCCCAAGGUUUCCAGGGUGUGAAUACUGACUUGUCAACCAAAGGGCACGCUCCUCAUUCUCUCAAUGCCUAUCCUGCCUCUUCCAACCCAGGGUUGUGCCACCAUUUUAUCCAUUAAGCCCAGCCCCUGCCUUGUCAGUCCCACCCCAAUACACCAAGGACACUGAACUGGGGUUCUGCAGCAUCUUUGCUGAAAAAAAAUGAAAGGAUAGUUUCAAUCCCAUAGCCCCUGUCAUCACCUCUCAUCACACUCUACUGCCAUGAUCUCCUGAAGCAUGUGAACCUCCGUGACCUCCCUCACAAAUGUCCCCAGGCAUUGCUGAUGUGGCUGCAUAGCAUGGAUGGUCAGGAGACUGUCCAGUGAAUCUUGCAAACUCCUCCUCCCCCAACCUCAGCCAGGAGAUCACUCCUGGGUGAAGUCCUCCCAUCUCAAGCACAGUGAGGCUGUGGGUUGCAGGCUUCAGGACUGGCAUUCCUCUUGGGUAAAGCUUGCCCAUCUGCCACUCAAGAAGACUUUGAAAGUUUGAGUGGGGACCUCAUCUUAUUUACCUUGUCUUCAGUGCCCAGGAUGGUGUAAACAACACCCAGCACAUGUGGUAGGCUGAAUGGAAUGAGCUAACGGAACAGUCAAUGCCCUGACUAGCCCCACUUCCCCCUGAGGAACAGAGCAUUUUGCCUCUCACUAAGUGACUUUCACAAUUCCCCCAUAAGGCCUAGUCUAAGGACACAUAAUUCUUGUCUUGCUGACAGUUCCCAACAGGAUCCUAGAGAGGCUGUUGGUGUGCUAUGGAGAAUACCCCAAACCUCUUCCUUGCCCAUCUCGCUUACAGAGUUGAGCUGCCAGAAGCCAGUCCAGAGCUCGCACUCUGGGCUCAGAGAUCCCCAGUGCCUAUCAGUCUAUUCACCUUCCAGCUCAUGUGAGAACUGUGAAGCCUCCACUUCCUCAAAUACCCACAGCACUGGGCUUUUGCGGGUUGUGAAUGAGAGAAGGCAAGUAAAGCAUUACCCAGGGAACCACACUGUAAUUAGUUCUUAGUACAUGGUGGUGACUCUCCCUUAUUUUCAUUAACACCACCACCAUCUUUAUCGUGUGAAGUGUCCUAGAAACACCAGCACAUUAAUAAUUAGAAGACAUAGGACCUAUAUGGCAGGCCACUGCCUGGCUCCAAUGUGCAGGUAGGAGAUGAGGCCUGUUUCCAGUACCCCAGGAUUGGUAUUGGGGAGCUCAGGGGUGGGACGAGAGGGAGGGACACCCCCAUGUUGUGCGUUCUGAAUUCCAAAAACCUUGAAGUUCAUUCUGAAGCCGAAGGGUGGCAGGGAUGGCAUCACUUUACUCUGGUGAUAUCAAUGGUUCCUGCUCAGCACUUUGUAUACCAUUUUCCUGAAAGCUUGGGAAAAAAGAUGUCGGUAAUAAGGGCUUUAUGGAGAAAAAUGUAACAAGAUUGAAGGGACUGAGCCCAGAUGUCUUUAAAAUGACUAAUAUCAGAGCAGAUGUCCAUAGCUCAGGAAAGUGGGCUGUGAAGUCAGGUGAAACAAGGAAAGAGAUCAUAUGGUUGAUGGAGAUACGAGAGGCAAACAGCAAGUUGUCCCUCCACUUGAGUCUGCCGUCCCAUCGCGUCAGCUGAGGAAGCUGACACUAGUGGGAAAUGUCCGAUGAGAUUUCCACAGAAACUGCGAAGACCCUAAUAUCCUGAAGGGGAGGGGCUGUUGAUGAGCUCAUUGAGAGGAGAACUGUGAAAGGACCACAACCUUGUCAGAAUUGGACAUCUCCCCAAUCCAGAAUAAGGAAGGGACGAGAAAGGCAGAGCAGUAGAUGGAGCAGAUGUGCAUAGAGCUCACAGUGAUGCUCAAUUGGAUUAGACUCACUUACCUUAGAAGUGUCCAAGUGUGCCUUGGCAAUCGUUGCCUCAUAGGUAUUCAUUCAUCCAUCCAUCUAGCCAUCCAUCCAUCCAUCCAUCAUCCACCAUCCAUCGUGCACACAUCCACAAGCCAUCCAUCCACCAUUUAUUCAUCCAUUCAUCUAUCCCUCAUCUGUUCAUCCAUUCAUUCACCAUCCAUCCAUUAUCCAUCCAUCCAUCAUCCUUCCAUCCAUCUAGCCAUUCAUCCAUUCAUCCAUCCAUCCAUCCAUCCACCUAUUUAUCCACCAUGCAUCCCUCAUCUAUCCAUCCAUCCAGUCGUCUACUCAUCUAUACACUAUCCAGCCAGGCAGCCAUCAUCCAUCCCUCCUCCCACUAUCCAUUCAAAAUCCUGUCAUUUAUCCCCCAUCCAUGCAACAUCUAUCCAUCCUUCCAUACAUUGAUCUAUCUAUCCAUCUACUCAUCUAUCCACUAUCCAUCCAUCACCCACCUAACCACCAUCCAUCCAUCCACCCACCAUCCAUCCACCAUCCUUCCAUCCUUUCACCAUACAUUCACUACCUACUAUCAAUCCAUCCACCUACUAUCCACCCACCAUCCUUCAGUCCUUCCAUCAACCAUCCACUAUCCAUUCAUCCACCCACCCACCCACUAUCCAUUUAUUCACCAUCUCUCUAUCCAUUUACUAGGUAAUUUGGGAACAUAGGAUAAAAAUUAUUAUGACUGUGUUGCCGGCCCUUCCUCUGCCCUGACACUAUUGAGGGCUCCAGAUCCUCUAAACCAUUACCAUUGUCAAGCUCUGUCCCCUGAAAUCAAGUGCAGUUUUGUUCCGAUGAUGAGCACACAUACUCAUGCUAUUCCCAAGAUCUUGGACAUGGCCACCCACCAGGAUCUGGUUUCCCAGCACCAGCUCCUGCCUCAUCCCUGUGUCUUCUGCGGCUCACGUUCCUUGAGAGGCUGAGGUUAAAUCUCAGGACUGAAUGAAACAAUCCUUUCAUGGGUGAGGGAGAGGGAAGAUCCAGACAUGGGCAUAUACCAGAGAAAAGGCAAAGAGAGGGGACCACUUGUCUCCUCAGGCCCAGGUGGACAAGAGUUAGGCUGGAAAGCUGACAAUCACCCAGAGAGGAAAGGUGGACAUGGGGAGACAAAUGGGCAGAGAGGGGGAAGAAACGCUGGACUCUUUAGUGGGAGGUGAGGUGUUAGGGAGGCCUGGAGCCCAAGGCCGAGUGUCAGGGCGGUCCAGGUCACAAAAAUACCAAGAAGAGGCACAGAGGGGUCCCAGGGAGGUGAGGCUGUGAUGGUCCCCGUGUAGGGACUGGGAACUUGGUGUCAUCUAGAUAUUUGCAGACCUCAAAUAUUGUUUCAACAGCACUAUGGAUUUUGGAAAUUUAUAACAUGUUUGAUAAUAAUGUGUUUGACUUUUAA